Molecule: small nuclear RNA, 107 nt
Filed under: Chinchilla lanigera (long-tailed chinchilla)
Lineage: Eukaryota; Metazoa; Chordata; Mammalia; Rodentia; Chinchillidae
Source: RNAcentral
GUGCUCACUUCGGCAGCUCAUACACUAAAAUUGGAACAAUACAGAGAUGAUUAGCACGGCCCCUGUGCAAGGAUGACAUGCGAAUUCAUAACGUGUUCCAUAUCUUU